UACGUAGGGGUCGAGCGUUGUCCGGAGUUACUGGGCGUAAAGCGCAUGCAGGCGGCUCAUUACGCAUGGCGUGAAAGCCCCCGGCUCAACCGGGGAGGGUCGUCGUGAACGGGUGAGCUUGAGGGUAUCAGGGGCUGGUGGAAUUCCCGGUGUAGUGGUGAAAUGCGUAGAGAUCGGGAGGAACACCUGUGGCGAAGGCGGCCAGCUGGGAUACACCUGACGCUGAGAUGCGAAGGCGUGGGGAGCGAACGGGAUUAGAUACCCGCGUAGUCCUU
RNAcentral lists this ribosomal RNA (275 nucleotides) under uncultured prokaryote. Its description in RNAcentral is "partial 16S ribosomal RNA". It matches the Rfam family "Bacterial small subunit ribosomal RNA", at positions 524 to 798 of the family's 1533-position model. The record is from RNAcentral.